GCAAACUUGGUCAUUUAGAGGAAGUAAAAGUCGUAACAAGGUUUCCGUAGGUGAACCUGCGGAAGGAUCAUUAACGUACCCCUGACGGCAAGGGUGCGCCCAGCUCCGGCCCCAGAGGGGCCGCGCAGCGGGUGCGCCCGAGCCGCUCAACCUUUGCAAACCCACUUGUGCACCUUUGUCGGCAAAGGGCCCAGUGGGCCCCGAGCCGGAUCACAGACCACAAAAGAAUGACCAAGUGGACAGGUCUCUGUCCCUAGACCAAAUAACAACUUUCAACAACGGAUCUCUUGGCUCUCGCAUCGAUGAAGAACGCAGC
RNAcentral lists this unclassified non-coding RNA (316 nucleotides) under uncultured fungus. RNAcentral's name for it is "partial contains small subunit ribosomal RNA, internal transcribed spacer 1, and 5.8S ribosomal RNA". The stretch from base 1 to 73 matches the Rfam family "Eukaryotic small subunit ribosomal RNA", at positions 1759 to 1831 of the family's 1831-position model. Lineage: Eukaryota; Fungi. The record is from RNAcentral.